GGGUAAACCUGCGAAACUCGAAUGAACGAACGGAGAGAUUCAUCAUCAUUCCGCGGCGUACGGGCUGCGCGCUUCGAUGUCGUCGGCCUCGGUCGUGCGGCACGACGCGCGUCCGUCGACGUCCGCGGACGGCGUGCACUUCUCUCUUAGUAAAUACAUCGCGACCCGUUCGAUGUCGGUCUAAGCGCCGUCCGGGAGUCCCACGGUCCCUUAACGGGGUCCGUUGGACCGCGACGGUGGCCGACCGGCCGUCGGACGGUAGUUCUGACGAAACGCGCACGCGUUUACAACGCGUCCGGCCCGACGCAAGUCAACGUCGUAUCCAACGUACCGCCUCAGCGCGGACGUAGGUGCGGCGCGUCUGCUGUUGCUGCCGUGCAGUCUCGGACUGUGCGCGUCUCUGUCUGCGAUGAUUCAGUUUCGGGCACUCGCAGGACCCGUCUUGAAACACGGACCAAGGAGUCUAGCAUGUAUGCGAGUCAUUGAGAUUAUAAAACUGAAAGGCGCAACGAAAGUGAAGGCGCGCGCUUGCCGCGCGCUCAGGGAGGAUGGAGCGUCGAUCUAGGUCGAUCUCUCGCACUCCCGAGGCGUCUCGUUUCCAAUCCGUGAAUGUAGGCGCGCUCUGAGCAUAAAUGCUGGGACCCGAAAGAUG
RNAcentral lists this ribosomal RNA (652 nucleotides) under Haploa contigua. RNAcentral describes it as "eukaryotic LSU rRNA". It matches the Rfam family "Eukaryotic large subunit ribosomal RNA", at positions 413 to 825 of the family's 3401-position model. Lineage: Eukaryota; Metazoa; Arthropoda; Insecta; Lepidoptera; Erebidae. The record is from RNAcentral.